GACGAACGCUGGCGGCGUGCCUAACACAUGCAAGUCGAACGAGGUCCAUCCAGUAGCAAUACUGGGGAAGACCUAGUGGCGAACGGGUGAGUAACACGUGAGGAACCUGCCCCGAAGACCGGGAUACGCUCCGAAAGGAACGCUAAUACCGGAUACCUUCACCAGACCGCAUGAUCCGGUGAAGGAAUGGAUUCCGCUUCGGGAGGGCCUCGCGGCCUAUCAGCUUGUUGGUGGGGUAAUGGCCCACCAAGGCUUCGACGGGUAGCUGGUCUGAGAGGACGAUCAGCCACACUGGGACUGAGACACGGCCCAGACUCCUACGGGAGGCAGCAGUGGGGAAUCUUGCGCAAUGGGCGAAAGCCUGACGCAGCAACGCCGCGUGGGGGAUGAAGGCUCUCGGGUCGUAAACCCCUUUCAGCAGGGACGAAACUGACGGUACCUGCAGAAGAAGCCCCGGCCAACUACGUGCCAGCAGCCGCGGUAACACGUAGGGGGCAAGCGUUGUCCGGAUUUAGUU
RNAcentral lists this ribosomal RNA (517 nucleotides) under uncultured bacterium. RNAcentral describes it as "bacterial SSU rRNA". It matches the Rfam family "Bacterial small subunit ribosomal RNA", at positions 28 to 556 of the family's 1533-position model. The record is from RNAcentral.